This is a non-coding RNA of Macaca mulatta (Rhesus monkey), 289 nucleotides long. NCBI's taxonomy places the organism in Eukaryota, Metazoa, Chordata, Mammalia, Primates, Cercopithecidae. The record is from RefSeq and is a predicted model, not a curated record.
UACCACUUACUGCUGCAAGAAUCCAUCAGCUUUCUCAGGAUGUAAACCCCUUUGUGAAUGCUCAAACUGCAGGCACUGUGAGUUUCCAGGAUGAGACAAUGUGUGCCCACAUUUCCACAAAGAAAGAAGUUAAAGCACAAGGUGGGACCUCAUUUGGCCAAAGAUUCUCUAAUACUAUGGGCAUUGGACCCCCUGGGGAUCCCACAGGAUCUGAGUGCUGCAAGGCAAGGACUUCCCUCUGGCUCAAAGCAACCACCCGCACAUCUCUGAGAGAGCCUUUUUUUCAGGU